CCGGAGGCCCGGGCCCCUCUGACGGCGCAUUCCGCCGCCAUGUCGGUCCUCUUCA
Azorhizobium caulinodans ORS 571 is the source of this 55-nucleotide regulatory RNA element. It matches the Rfam family "terC RNA". Lineage: Bacteria; Pseudomonadati; Pseudomonadota; Alphaproteobacteria; Hyphomicrobiales; Xanthobacteraceae. The record is from Rfam.